GACGAACCGUGCAAACGUUGUUCGGAAUCACUGGGCUUAAAGGGCGCGUAGGCGGGUUCCCAAGUCGGUGGUGAAAUCUUUCGGCCCAACCGGAAAAGUGCCGCCGAUACUGGGAGUCUCGAGGGAGGUAGGGGUCGAUGGAACUUCCGGUGGAGCGGUGAAAUGCGUUGAGAUCGGAAGGAACGCCCGUGGCGAAAGCGAGCCCCUGGACGUCUACUGACGCUGAGACGCGAAAGCCAGGGGAGCGAACGGG
Molecule: ribosomal RNA, 253 nt
Filed under: uncultured bacterium
Lineage: Bacteria
Description: partial 16S ribosomal RNA
Rfam family: Bacterial small subunit ribosomal RNA
Source: RNAcentral